UCCACAUUUGCUGAUUGAGGUAGCCAUAU
Molecule: non-coding RNA, 29 nt
Filed under: Rattus norvegicus (Norway rat)
Lineage: Eukaryota; Metazoa; Chordata; Mammalia; Rodentia; Muridae
Source: RNAcentral